GGCAAUCCUGCCAGGAUAACUGUGUUUGGUUAAUCCGCUAUGUAAUCUAGUCGUUAAUGUAGCAUUACAAAUCGAGCAGGAUUACAUCGAAAAUAUUAACGGGAGGGGGGUCGUGUAUCUUGCAUUACUGAAAACCGUUAAUACUACAUAUUAUAUAAAAUGACAAUUUUACCCUCCAAAAAACCCCAAAUCUAAUUAACAGCAUUAUUUUCAUCUCUCUCGCCUUCCCCCUCUCUUUCGCACGUCGCUUUCUCUCGCUCUCUCUCUCUCUCUCGACGUCUCUCUCUCUCUCUCUCGCACAAACACCUAUCAUCUUCUAUUGCGUCGUCCUCCCAGGUAAUCAUCACGAUCUCCUUCCCUCCAUUCAUCAUUUCCGCAAAAAAUAAUAUUCAAAUGACCACAACAAGGGCAAUUUUGAAAAAAACUAUACUUUUAUGUUAGGAUUAUUAAAUUUUAUAAACUGAACCAAACGUAUUAAUACUAUAAAUACUGUAAUCUAGUAUUACAUUACUGCAUUAAACCAAACGCACUAAUGCAGCAUCAGUAGUAAUCUCAUGCCGAAAUCCA
RNAcentral lists this long non-coding RNA (567 nucleotides) under Ananas comosus (pineapple). RNAcentral's name for it is "long non-coding RNA (ACOM_LNC037638)". The record is from RNAcentral. Lineage: Eukaryota; Viridiplantae; Streptophyta; Magnoliopsida; Poales; Bromeliaceae.